GACCGUGUAGGUGACGGCGACGCCCGCUUCGCGGUCGAGCCGGGCGGCUUCGGCGAGCAGGGACGGCGCCGGAUCGAGGCCGGUCACCGUCGC
RNAcentral lists this transfer RNA (93 nucleotides) under Actinoplanes palleronii. RNAcentral's name for it is "tRNA-Pro". The record is from RNAcentral. Lineage: Bacteria; Bacillati; Actinomycetota; Actinomycetes; Micromonosporales; Micromonosporaceae.